This is a long non-coding RNA of Gasterosteus aculeatus aculeatus (three-spined stickleback), 8697 nucleotides long. The record is from Ensembl. NCBI's taxonomy places the organism in Eukaryota, Metazoa, Chordata, Actinopteri, Perciformes, Gasterosteidae.
GAGGACAUGUCCUCUGCACUCCAGGGCAUUGUUUCCUGUUUAUUAUUCUUCCUGUGAUAUUGCCAUGUUGAUCUUAUUGCCCCGGUACCCUGAGGAACAAAACUCAUCAGUUGGACGUCUUAAUUGGAUACACUUUUCAAAUUUAGCUCCCGCAUGGUGUUGGCUCACACCCAGGAUCAUUAUUAUAUUUGCCGAGUGUGUGGACGAACUGUGAACUCGCACCGUGGCCUCGGCUCCGUGAUCACUGAGUGAAGUGGACCACGCUCCCUUUCCCCGUGAAGGGGGAGCUAUUGGAGCCCUGCGUUCUUUUCUAUAAAGAGAAAUCUGGUUCCUAUUUAUACACAACAAGAACAGUAAUGUCCUCCCUCAUUACGCCGUUACUUGUCCCUUCUAGCGAGGCUAUCAUUAACUAUAAGAAGAGGACGUGGUCGUCGUGACAACCCCCAUUGGUAUGCGGCCUGUGGUUCUCAAACCUUGAGUUCAGCAUUUUGUCCCGUCUUUGUUGCCAUUUUGUUUGUUCACACGAUUACAGUAGUCCUGCCUCAGGGCAUACACUGCUUUGUGGUCGAUUUGACUCGAUUUGACUCUUAAUGCUAAAUUAUCAUCAUGCUGUGUUGAAGAAGACUGGAAACUAGAGAGUGAGACCAUGAACUCAUGUGUACAAGGAUUGCUGAGGAAAUAAAUCAAGUAGUCAUUCACUCAGGACAUUUUUUAAGGAACCCUAAACCCUGAUGAACCCUGGUUCAUGAGGGGGCCCCGGGAUCUCAGCUCGCCCCUUUUCUUUUGCUCAGGCCCAGCGGGCCCACGUCUUUUACUCUCACACAUGUCAUCAGUAGGGUGCUCUCCAGCAGAGGCGCAAAGGAGACUUCUUGAACCCCAGCUCCGUGUCCUGAGCUCGAGGACUGGUGAACCCAGCCAGCGGGCUGACAGGUAGCCCACAGCAACAGAUGCGUGUGUACAGUAAUUGCUCUGUGUAUUGGCAACCCCAGAGAUUGCUCCGCCGUCGCUCAUCUACCGCUAAAGCCCGGCUAUUCAUACUAAACUGAGCCACUUUCCUCAGAAACAGCAUGCCAGUUGGCUUGAGGUACAGCUUUGCCUCAGUCGAGCGAGAAUGGUACCUCAGACACAUUCAACAUCUGGCUGCAUUUUAGUAAUCGCUCGCUUUUAAAAGAGGAGAAAAGUUCUAAGCAGCAGUCUACAAAAAAAAAAGAAAAACGGAAACCACCGCUGCAAUACGCUGACAACUCAGACAGGGUGGGAUUAAUAUGUGGACUCCAUGAAGUGUGACUGCGAGUUCAACAGAGUAGCGACUUCUCAUAAAGGCACCGGAGGACCUGUGGAAGACGGAGGCUCCUCGAUUGAGAAUUAUGAAUAAGAUGCACCAACUUUACAUUGAAUGGUUACCACAAUGUAGAGCAUCCCGUUGGCUUCUCCCUACCAGGUCACUUACCUUUAUGCACACACCAGACGUUCUUCAGUGUAAAACAGACAGGAGCGUAUUUCAGUUUCUAUUUUUUGGAAGCCUUGUUGGAUUUGAUUGGUGGACACAUGACGCAUAGCAGGGGAGUUUAACAGAGUUAUGAUUGGCCUCUUUGAUUUAGCAGACAGAAACCUCUCACAGUGCUAUCAGACAGACAAUUUUUAUAAUGAAUCACGAAGCAUUGAGGCGCUGUGGGCCACAUGGGGAGAAGCUGUGACUCCAUAAGGUUAGUCCCAUCCCAGGGUUUCUUCCUGAGCCAUUUCGACUUAUUUCUCAACAGUACAUAACGUUAAUAAAAAAAAAUCAAGCAAUGCUUGGCAGUCUAACAAAACCAACCACAUGUUGGGACAAUGAACACAGCUUUAGCCACAGCUCCACAGUAUUCAACGUAAUCCAAAUGACUUUCAUUUAGCCACGUUCCAUAAAACUAUGCAUCAACAUUAUUUUAAAGUGUCCUCUUCAAGUAACCGGAAAAAAAUGAUAACAGAGGAAGAAGAAAUGUAAUUUGCUUGUUUGUUGUCGUGUUGUAUCAUCUGCAAAUGGCUGAUGCUCCUGGCUGCAACGGGAAACAUGAGUUCUAUUGGAGUACAAGGCGGGGCUUCUUAAGCCAACUCAGGAUUCAAAGUACAGCUCUUGUGCCUUUCAUCAGGUUAACUGAUAACUGUUGCUCGACAUUGAAAUGGCAGAUGCUCACAAGGUACAUUUGUUUGCCUUAUUUGACCCUUAUUGCUUCCAUCAGCGCCGCUGGCUCUGGCUUUCCCUCCCGAGUAUCGACACUGCGGCAUAAACCGCGGUGCGUCUGGCCUCGCUCAGCGGGCCGCGCAUCGCCUCAAAUGUCCCCGCUCACCGUCGCAGCGGGCUGUCACAGGACAACACAUGACAAUAGUGGAGUGACACACGUUUUAUAUCUGCCUGGCCUCCGCUCUGAUAACCAGCGGCGGGGAUUUGGAGGAGAGGCUGCACACUUUUCUCUCGUUAGCUCUUUGUCGAGGUGUCAUGGAUCUCCUCCAGGUAGACAGGGUGCUGGUGGAGCAUAUGUGGGGGAGGCAGACGGUGUUGACAGUGACCCAUUUCCCAGCAUGCUCUCCGGUGGAGGGUGACAGACCUGCACUCAGCUGGAAGAGUGAAUAAUGAUCCCGUGCUGACAGAGAGUGGUGACUGGCACAUGCCGAGACAAACACAGAGGCUAUUUUUCAGCUAUUACAUCCUGAAUGAAUCCAGAGUGGGUUUCAUUGGUUUUCUAUUGACAGAAAGCGUCGUUUGAGAGAUUUACAGGUCAAAAAGGCCCUCGAGACAUCUCGAAAUGGAGGCUCUAGUUCUAGAUGUCAAAACAAAAAGUGUCAGCAAAUUGUCCACUUAUGGGAUAUUUCCUGCAACUACCAUCUUUCAUCAGUGGUUGAACUUUGCUAAGUUGUCCAAAAUUUUUUUUAUCAAUACUGAACCUCAAAGCACAAGUUUUGUUGUAUCUUGAUAUCUAUGUGAAAUUAAUUAUCACCAUGUGUACUCUUUCCACCGGAAUCUAAUAGAUUAGAUUAGUUCAGUGUUGUAUGGAUCCCCAAUAGCCAACGCCAUGCCUGCAGAUUUAACAAAAAUGAUAUUAUGUACGAAGAUAUAUCAUCAAAUCAUUCAUCUAUGAUAGGUCCAAGAGGGAAAAAUUACCUAUUUUAUUAAGACUUAGAACCUACUGUAACUAAUGAAGGAUUAAAUCGUGUGCUAACAAAAACAUUGGUACUUUAACUUAGUUUGACCCAAAUGUAAGGGUCCGGCUAUGUUUAAACCUAAAAAGUCUAUUUACUGGGGUUUUGAAGUUCAGAUAGAUAUGUUUACUGGUAUUAUAUGAGGAAGGUCAUUCAACCAAAGGCAGGUUAAGAGCAGGUCGUAUGUUAGCAUGUGAGGCCUAUUCUCAUGAACCUGGUGUCUCAGUAAAGUCAGCAAUGAAUGUCAUCCCGUCUGGCACUGGGACCCAAAGCAGAAUUUAAUUUUGGUGCUCAGAGGUCACUGUGGCAUUGAUGAACCAUCUUUCUUGCCCAAAUCCAUGAAUUCACAUGGGUGUUGGCAUAAAUGCUGCUUAUUAGGACAAAAUCAUGAAUGAUGACAUUGACAAUUGGCCAUUACCACCAGCUGCUGAUUCCAGCAUGACCUGAUUUAUAGAAUUAAAACAGGCAUCUGUUUAAAAGAGGGAGCUUGUAUUGGUUCAAACCACACACAGGUUUCUCCUAGAACAUUGAAAUGACUGCAGCUUCCAUUUGUGUCUGCUUGUAACACAAGUGAAGAUGCAAAUGGUUCCUGGUUUAUUUUGCAGUUGUCACUGAAGCGCAGCGGUACUUCGACCACAAUGUCUCUGAUAAGAAAGUGACCUCCACAGUGGCUUUGGUAUCGUUGGCCUUCUGUUGUGUGCUCGCCUGUCAGUAGUUGGCGACAGGUGUGACGGUCCGUCCGCUGCAGAGGCCAGAUGAGGAGCCAGGCUCUGGACUGCCGGGGCACCUCAUUAGCCUCCCCCUGCAGUCCUCCGCUGAGACAGGCACAGAGCCACUGGCCCUCUGCAAGGACAAACGCAGAGAGCUCGGUGGAAAGCGGCGGGAGAUGGAGAAAGGGAAAAGGAGACGGGAGAAGUGAACACACCUUUAAGAGAACCUUCUGCAGCGUGAACAUUUGCAGGACCUCACGCCUGCAGCUACUUGAUUCUGGUUUGAACAAAAGACACUGGGAAAGGUCACUUUGUGCAGUUGGUUUUGUUUGUUUAGGCCUUAAAUGUCCACAAACAAGUAAACCGCAGCCUACAAAUAAAACCUCCACGUGCCUGGAAUGCCUCCAUGUGACGGACAUGUGCUGAAGAGGCCUGCUUUGCCCGGCUGUAAUCUUUCCGUCCACUCUGUAAUAGUUAUGAACACUGUCCCGCGUCCUUCAACAUGAGUAGGUGCCGCCCAUUAUGUGACCUGUUACGUUUGGGAAUCUGUUUUUCUCCAGACAAAUAUCUCUAAGGCAAUGACGAUUAUGUUUGUAUUGCUCCAAAAAAAGGAAUAUAUGUUUUUUAUUGGUAUUUGAUCCAAGACACUACGUCCACACAGGCAAGAUGAAAUGGAUUUUAAAACAGGUGCUCAACAUAAUGGACCUCAUGAGGAUUUCUCUUAAAAUACAAAUGUAGUCAUUAACAGAUUACUUUAUCGACUAUUCUAAAGAUUAUUUUAGAUUAUGUAUUUUUUGUAGCUCUUAACUACUUAAAAUUUCAAUAUUUCACUAAAGCACCUCUUAAAAACAAACAAAUCUAACAAGAUAAUAGACCCUUUAUAUAUCUUAUAUCUGGUCCAUGUGACAUUGGGACUUUGCCUAAGAGACAUCUGUCAAUAGAUUUAGAAAAGGGCAACGUUGAAGUGAACAUCUAAAAUCAUUGUGUAGGUAGGUGGUAAAAACUUCCCUCACCAGAGGGACAAUUACAAUGGCUCACUGAUCCCUUGGAACAGCGAGAUGUGAAUCCUCAUCCUGCAUAAUCCGAGGCUCCUAUCCCUCGCACUCCUCACUUACUCACUCACACACACACACACACACACACACACACACACCUCACCGUCUCUGUUUCAGCUCUGGUUCAAUCCUCCGUCUCUUGUCCAAUCGUCUUCCCUCUGUGCUCAGUCUCUCGUUCCACACUUAACCUUCCGUGUCCUUUGCAUUUCUUCACACGUGGAGUCAAUGAAUAGAUCUGGGACUUAAUUACAUUAAGAAAAGCUACGAGGUGCACAGAACUGUGUGUUCAGACUAUUAAAAUAAAUCGGUCGUGCUGAAGUUCACGGUACGUUCCACUUUCAUGUCGGUGCUGGGACCUGAAUUAUUUGUAGUUAACAUUUAUUGUACCAGGUGAUGCUUUCAUGAGUUACACAGAAUUUAUUUGGCUCUUGAACUCAAUGAGGGGAUUUGGGAUUGCGCUGUGUUUUCCCUGAGCAGCAGCCAUGUAUACAUACAUAUAAAAGGAGUACAGACACUGGUGGUGGCGGCGGCUGGAGGUUCUGCCAGAGUUGUUGGAUGUUGAAUUUGAGAAGGCGGAUGGUGCUGGGGAGACGGAGGGUCCCAUGAGACGAUAGAGGCGGGGCUAAAACCCUUUUAAAGGAGACAGCAACAGCUGAUAGGCUAGCGAAGGGGGUUUGACUCUGCGCUCAUUUUGCUGGUGGCGCCCAACUGAUGAACAGCAGAGAAUCGUCCUCAGCGGGACGGAGAGCCGGUGUCACCGUGGCAGCGGGUUUAUUGUUUUUUUCUUCUUCUUCUUCUUCUUCUUCUUCUCCGCUAUGCGCCUGCUCCCGUUCGAACAACUUUUCCUCGUCGACGUGGCUCGGGGGUAGAGCGGGUGCACUGGGAACCACAAGGGUGGCGGUUUGAGCCCCGGUUGCUCCAUGCCCCAUGUCGAAGUCCCUGUGCAAGACACUCAACCCCUAAUUGCACCCCGGGCGAAAAAGCCAUGGGUUAAAAAUAGUUAUAUAGAUAAAAGCGUCAGCUAAAUCCCCUGUAAUGUGUAAUAAUGUAAUGUCACAACUCCCCCCCCAGUCUGCAAUGCCAGCCCCAAAGAGGUUGUGUAAUAUCACAGCAACAACUGCAGGGAUCCCCACUGAGUUGUCAUGUGAGUCCACGCUCUCUCUCACACAGUUGGGGAGGGAUAUUAUUGUCUGUGAUGUUUCAGGGGGAUACUUGCACUGCACUGUUCUUGACCUCGUCCAUUGAUCUAGAUUUUAAUGAGCAUCCAAUGUACAGAGCCAGACAGCGUCCUGUUCACCACAAGAGGAGCAAUUCUUGAUCCCGUGUGUCCUUAUCCGGCAGUUUGUUCUCUCGCAUAAAAGUUGCCCCCCUUCAUCCCCCCCAUCCCUUCUCGGAGAGGUUAGUGUUAGCGCUGUUCUUAGAUGCCACUUUUGUUAUCGGGGAUGAACGCUGCCCUACAACGGCACAAAAAGAGCAGCCAUGGCCUGUGCUGUGAAGGUUAAAGGUCAUGAAGCAGACUUUAUAUCACAAAUUGUAGUGUACCAUCACAUGCUUAUGGUGUGUAGACAAAUCUUUGAAUUGUAGCUUUUCAGUGAUUUUAGAGACGUAUUUUCAUUUAUAUUUAUUUAUUCAUAAAUCCUUUUUAUAAUAUCUCAAAACCAAUCCAUGCCAUCUAUGUGAAUGCAUACUGAAGGCAGUUUGGUUUUAUCUUUAUAGCUUUGGACAUUUGGACAUAUUUCUUUCAGUCAUAACAUUCCUGACAUCUUGGAACACAGUGAGUGUUACAACAUCUGUGUCCGCCACUAGCAAGAAAUAGGAGAGGCCACGUUACACGACAAUCUAGCCACCCAAUCGUUUGUAGAUGAAUUCACUGUCCUCUGUGGCCAACAUAGAUCAUGAUAUUAACACCAACAAUGAAUAUCCAUAUCGAUGUGGAUGGGUGGAUGAAGCUUGCCAUUUCCAAUCCAGGUGAUCAAAGGUCAAUCUAGUGGAGGAUAUCGCAUUAAACCAAAGACUAUUGCAUGCAUUUUUAAUAUUAAUUAAGCAGCGACCCAUUUUCCUUGACAAACAGCAUUACAUCACUUUGUCCUUGCAGGCUCUGAUAGCACUGGAUGGAAACAUAAAGAGCAUAAGCCUAAGAAAGAUAUUUUAGCCUGUGCAAUCAGAGCAUUUCAAGUCAUUAAUCAAAUUGGUGCUCUCCAAAACUCCUUCCAUUGCCCUUCUUUGUGAAUCGCCCCUUAUAAAUGAAGUAUAAUUAAUUGAACAUUCUCCCAGCGUGUCCCGGUGUCGGCUCUGAUUCCGUACCAUGGAAGCCUCCCGAAGCGAACUUCCUAUCUGACUUCCUCCUCUACAGCAAUGCCUCCGAGAUAAUUGCUGUGAUGAUGUCAUUUCAAUUACUCCCUAAUUCCUCUCCGUUUGCAAUCAAUUUUGUAGUGUGACUAAGAACAGACUAAUGGUUAGAACAUCUCUGCCUCCCACCCGCGGAGUGCGUCGGGGAAGAGGAGCCGCGGGUGGAGGCAAAGACAGAAAAGGCAAGCAAGAUAGAGACGGAGCUCCAGCAUCUUCGUGCUCCUCUCUGCCGUGCUGCUGUGGAUGUGCUCGUUUGCCAGAGGAGUGGGAGGAGUGAUGCAGGAAGCACAUCGCUGAAAGAUGAGAAGUACCCCGACGCCAUCACCUCUGACAGGCGGCGGAAGCACUGCUUCGCACGAGCUUCAUCAGAGCUCCAACCCCAGGUCAUAGCGAGGUCGUACCUCCUCGCACUGGAUUUGAAUUAAUAGCUGAACGAGUUCAUUAUAAAAUGGCAACUGUCCCGUUUACUCUUUUCUCUCGACUCAUUUUUCAAAGAGCCUUACAAAUGGUUGUAAAGCAGCACAUUCAUUUAUUUUUUUCUGGACACAAAAGGCAUCACAAGUGAUAAUUGACUUUGCUUGUCCCUCAAUAAAAAGACCCCUGCUUUAGAGACAACUCGGUCAAGAAAGGUUCAGUGGGACUGCUUUUUCUUUGAUUAUCAUUUUGAUUCAAUCAACAUAAUAAAUCGCUUGUAUACAUUGUGUUUUAAUGCCAUCCAGAAAGUAUACUUGUUCUGUUAUUUAAAGCCAUUUCAAAGAAUUCAACACAUGCGUAGUAGUAAAGUGUGGAAGGACGAGCACAGCUCACUAUGGUCGGCUGCACUCGUGCAGAUCAAUAAUCACCAAAGGCCGUCGGCAUUCAUCCAGAGCAUGAUACGUAGAUGACCUUGGCUGAUCACGCCUCUACCUUCUGCACACACACACCACUCACUGCUUGCUCUACACCCUAACACUGCCUCAGGCUGUUGUGAAUGUAAAGUGUAUUAAUCAGUCCACCAGCAGUGUAAUUAUCUGCUGUCAUCCAGAGCACCAACCCCACGCUGCGAACUGCUGAACCUCUUUCUUUAUCCACGUUUUCAAGAUAAAUGACAGAUAAAUGCAAUGAUGAGUCCAACUGUCCACAGUAUGUAUAGGGUUGAGCUUCAUCACACUAUAAAGUGUUACUGCAUUGAAAAUGUGUUCUACAAACAGUCCCUCACACACAUGCACACACACGCGCACACACCGUAUGGAAGGGUUGUUAUCUGGACAGAGAAUACAUUUCAGUCCUUUGUAGCUGUUCCAAUGUGCGCCCCUGUUUCUCUGCCAAAGACAGAUUGAGCUUCAACUAUUUCAUACAUUAUUAAUAAAUCUUACUAUGAAAAAUGGAAAAGUGCUUUUGCAAAAACAUACUCGAGACAAACACUU